This 85-nucleotide transfer RNA is filed under the name Streptomyces radiopugnans. RNAcentral describes it as "tRNA-Arg". The record is from RNAcentral. Lineage: Bacteria; Bacillati; Actinomycetota; Actinomycetes; Kitasatosporales; Streptomycetaceae.
CCCCCGCAGGUCAGCGCCCAUGUGUCGAUCCGCCCGCUCCUGGCCUCCGGAGCCGUGUGCGCAGGUUCGAAUCCUGCCGGGGGCA